RNAcentral lists this ribosomal RNA (428 nucleotides) under uncultured prokaryote. RNAcentral describes it as "bacterial SSU rRNA". It matches the Rfam family "Bacterial small subunit ribosomal RNA", at positions 355 to 774 of the family's 1533-position model. The record is from RNAcentral.
UCGAGAAUCUUUCGCAAUGGGGGAAACCCUGACGAAGCGACGCCGCGUGAACGAUGAAGGUCUUCGGAUUGUAAAGUUCUGUCGCCUGGGAAGAACUGCUUUAGCGCUAAUAUCGCUAGAGUUUGACGUUACCAGGAGAGGAAGCCCCGGCUAACUCUGUGCCAGCAGCCGCGGUAAUACAGAGGGGGCAAGCGUUGUUCGGAUUUACUGGGCGUAAAGGGCGCGUAGGUGGAUUUAAAAGUCAGAUGUGAAAUUUCGGUGCUCACCAUCGAAUCUGCAUCUGAAACUAUAGAUCUUGAGUUUGGGGGAAGGGAAUGGAAUUCUCGGUGUAGCGGUGAAAUGUGUAGAUAUCGAGAAGAACACCAGUGGCGAAAGCGGUUCUCUAUCCUAAAACUGACACUGAGGCGCGAAAGCUAGGGGAGCGAACG